This 8675-nucleotide long non-coding RNA is filed under the name Triticum aestivum (bread wheat). RNAcentral describes it as "long non-coding RNA (TAES_LNC020883)". The record is from RNAcentral. Lineage: Eukaryota; Viridiplantae; Streptophyta; Magnoliopsida; Poales; Poaceae.
UUAUACCUCUCUCUAAGUGAGGUUUUAGAUAAGCUUUGAUGCGAUAUCUCUCUCCUCCUUUGACAUCAAUUUUCAAGAAGGGUUUAGCUCAUGGUGAUGAAUCAAUUGGUAGGGUCCUUGAGGAGCACAUCUAGCUGAGAUAAUACUGAUUUUUGGUAUCUCCGAGUAGGAUCAAUCAGUGAGUCCAAGGUAACUUGGAGCCAGGGGUUGAUCACAUCGGUGGGUGCGAGCCAGUUCACCACAAUAAGACCUAUGAACUUGUUAAGCAAUCUAACUUGCAAACUCGGUGGCUCCGAUGAAUUUCGGAUAGGAGGGACCGACUUCACCACAGAAAGAAUGAUUUGUCAAUCUCAGCUCACUUUGCAAUAAGGUCUUACAAGGAUUUGCAGUGAAUUUAGAUAAGAUUUGCGAGGAAUUAAUAUAAGAAAGUAAAUAGCCAAAUGAAGUAAAAGUAAACACAAGAUGCAGUGACCCAACCCAAAUGGAUCGGUGCGUCUGUGCUUUUCUUUGCUAUCCCUGGAUUAGUUUGCUAGCACACACAGUACAUCGAUGAAAUACCCUAACAUCACAUGUUAAAAAGAUAAUGUAGAUUCAGAGUAUACCUCAAAUAACACAGCGGAAAAACAAUCAUAAGGGCGUGGACUUCCACCAAUGCCAACGAGAAGUUGAGUGUAGACCGCAACCCUACCAUGUAACUCUUACUUGUCGAAAUAAAAUCCCGCAACAUAAGAUAUUGCAGCCAUAUAGGUCAAUAUACUGAAUGUAUUGGCAAGUCACUCAUAAAAUGUCGGGGAUAAUUCUAUCUCUAUAUGCAAUUUGGUUGUUGGAGGCUCUGAGUUUAAGCUUUUGCAUAAAUACUAGUUUUUCCCUAACUCAAGAUAAAUCAUAAUAAGUAAAGUUGAUGUCACUAAUGAGAUGGUUCCACCAAGCAAUUCUCAUAUCCAAAAGUUGUAGGGUAACGUAGCAUAAAACAAAAAAAUUCCGACCUACACACCAGCCGAGGACCACUAUGGAGACUGCAUACAAGGCUUGAUCUAUAACCUCCCAACUAACAUAGCGCAGCGGGAAGUAGAGUCAAUGACGAUCGACGGUGCAGAUCCCCGCAGCUCGGAUUUAUAACCUCCCAACCGCGAGGAUGUAUACCCUCAUCUGCCCCUUGGACAACCCUCCGGGAGGUGGUCGGACAGUCCCCCGGACGGUGUCGCGGACAGCCCUUCGGGAGGACCUUCGAAACUUGGAUGGUCACUCAGAUAGCCCUUCAGAAGGACCUUUGAAACUCGGACGGUCACACGGACAGCCCUUCGGGAGGCACUCUCGAACUAAGACCAAAACUACGAUAUCUCUAUAGAGUUGCACACAUACGGUGUCAUCUAUCCAGCAGGGCUUCGUCGUCCAGAACUAGUUCCCACCAGAACCCAGACAACCUUUCGUCUCUACGAAACUAUUUUGCGGGGAGGGAGAGAGAAGACAGAUCAUUGCAAUGGAACUUGUAUGUGAGAAAGAGUGAGUGUGGAGAGUGCCUCUCCACCUCUAUUUAUAGGAAAACCCAAGGGGUAGGAGGCACAUGAAAAACCCAAAAUGUCCAUACUUUAUGUCACACAUAAAGGGCAUAAAGGGAUGACAAGUGGAGCCCCAUGGAAGAGCUGCACCCUCCAACGUCCCACCUUCAUGGGACCCCCAAAGGGGGUUCCUUGAUCCCCAAGUCCUUCUAGAAGCCUUUUGGGAAAAGCCCCAAAAGGUGGCUUUCCAUAAAUAUCCCAAAAGGCACUUUCACUAUUCACGACGACAUUUUUCAGCGUCCGUUCAAACUAAAAAUAUUUAUGUGGGCUUAGAACAUUUCUAGUACCCACUAAAAUAAUUUUCAACGCGUUCCGAAACAAUUCCGGAUUAAUGAUUUUCAUCUGCGAAAAGCAUAUGAAGUGGUUCCGGCAGCUCCGGAGCAUUUCCAGCUUUUAUCCCGGAAAAUUCGAGAAAGUUUGCAGAAUGACUCUGGCACCCUCCUAGAAUUAUCAAGCAUGUGCCGAAACCAAUUUGACUUAAUAGUAUAUCCCGAAAAAACUUUUUGGUUUCACCGAAACUCAUCCGAUGACCUCUCUCUGCGAAACUUCUCCGGUGUCCGAAACUUUUUUGGUGAUUUUCUCUCAGACUCCCUGUCUAGUAUUCAGCAGAUAGAUGACCCUUAAACAUGUGACCCUAUAGGUUCGGUGAAGUAUAGACAUGACCCGGAACCCCUUCCGAUCAAUGAUCAACAUCGGAGCCAUGGACACCCAUAUUGACCCCUAUACCCACACAAAAAAUAUUUGAGUGAACCUCCAGUUGCAGUGAGCUAUUCCUAUUUCUUCGUGAUAUGUCACAAACACCCGAGGUGAGAUUUAUUGCAUCCCCGUGGACAAACAAUUUGUACACCAUGCAAGUUACCUCAUUACCGGUUUUGUUCUCUUUUCUCGUUUCUGUGUUCCGGCAUCCCUAUGAUCAAAUCACACUGUGUCUGGACAGAUGAUGAUGGAUACCGUAACAGUGAGAGGGCCCGAGAAUAUCUCUCCACCAUUGAAGGAGCAAAUCCCAAUAUUGAGCUAUCUUGUUACUUGCCAUACUUUUCCGUGAACCCGUAAGCCGCCGUAAUAGCCACCUAGUUACGGAUGACGUUUAACAAACCCCAUAGUUCACAAAGCAAGCACGAAGGAACUCGAUACUCUCAUGGUCUAAGGUAUUGUGCAAACAUUAACUAUCUCUAUGAUAUUAACCAUAAACUUGUGACGAAAAGAAUCUCAUAGCAUACCAUCAACUUGGGUCGAUUCAACACAUGUGUUCUACCAACAUUGUGCCCUCAAAAAUUGCCAGCAUAGACAUAUGCCCAUGAUCAGGAAAAUGGGAUCAUCAUGCAAUACAUGAGCCAGUCUUAGAGGCAAUUCUAGGAAUACAUUUUACUGUUUAGUAUACCACACGUGCACAUGAGUUUCCCUCCGAGCCUCGUGGAUAUUGCAGACUCGAGAAUCAUUGCGGUUAUAACAUGGAACAAACAUAAUUAUGAACUUGGAGAUAAAUAAUAUCAUUUAUUAUUGCCUCUAGGGCAUAUCUCCUACAGACUCCCACUUGCACUAGAGUCAAUAAUCUAGUUAACGCUAAUGCACUUUACACCUAUGGCAUACAGGUGUAAAAAAUGCUUCGCAUGUGGUAUAGCCUGAUGUCCAUCGGAUCUGACAACUUCUGCUCCGUGUGUAUCUCUGCAUAUCCUCGCGUUUUCACGCUUUCACAAAAUUCAUAUUUUGUGUGGACUUGGCUUUGUAUAUAUGUGAAUCAUUGGUCGAAACCUGAUUCCUUAGACUGAGUUAUGGAGCAACUAUCUGCAAUAGUAUCCCAUUGACCAAAGCCUUCUUGGAACCAUACUAAGUUAAUGAAUGAACUAUACGAUUCAUCAUCUUUGUCUUUGUCGCUUCUAAAGCAGCAACAUACUUAACCUCUAUUAUAGAAUUCGCCACAGUAACUUGUUUGGAACAAUUUCCAACUAACUGCCCACCAUAUUGUGUGUUACACAAAACCCUCAAUUUAAAUUGAAAAUCGCAUGGAGAAAUGAUGAAGAUUUUAUCGAUGUAACCUUUUACAACGAACUCUUCAUGAUGUCCACUUGCAAGAAAACAUGUCAUCAGUGCUACUUUAGUACUCAAUGAUCCCUUUUCACUGUUGUCCCAUGAUCAGUACUUUUGAUCACUUUGGUAUCUAUACUCGCAACAGCUUGGGAGUAUUGGACAUAUCUGGUUGUUUUACAUACCAUGGAAUACAUGAUUAAUCCAAACACAGGAGUGUGUGAAAUCUCCAUCAUGUAUUUUUCUCAUUAGUGUUUUGGGACACUGAUUCUUGCAAAAACUCUUUCCAUGUGACUUCAGCAAGAAUCAUUCCUUGUCGUUCUUAGUGCUAAACAAUUUUAGCAUCUUGUCAAUAUGUAUUUUUGCUCAGCCCUAUUAGGUAAAUCUAUCUCCAUAGAUCAUUAUUCCUAAUAUCAAGGCUAUUUAGCCCAAGCACUUCAUCGAAACUAUUUUCAAAUGAAGUCCUAAUUCGUGUCAAGAAAUUUAUUUCCAAUUAACAAUGUGUCAAGCACACAAGGUUUUCAGAAAUAUUACUAUGCUCCCACUUAAUUUCUUGAAACCACAAGCAUCUUCAUUACCCAUUGAUGAAGUCAAACCCCUUUGACCAUUCCAUCAAAAACGAAGAUUCCAAUUCCAUUUUGCUCUCUUUUAUCCAUUGCUGGAACUCUGAAGCUAGCAUACUUACUAGCAUCCUCUGGACCAACAAAAUACUUUGGAUUGUAUCACAUACAAGUCCUAGGUUGUAUUUCCAUUUCAUGGAAAUUCUUUUGUCAUCCAUGUCUCAUAUCUCAUGUUUGAAAUAUGUAUUAAUUGCUAGUUUAACCUGAACUGAAUUUAAGCAUUGCUAUGGUGAGAUAAUCUCAUUAUAGUCAACUCCUUGAACUUUUUCUUGCAACAAGUCGAGCUUAAUGGAUAAAACAUUUUUAUCCGUAUUAGUUUAUAGUCCCAUUACAAUCUGUUAGACUCUAGGUCUUUCGGAGGGUUUAUCAAGAUUUUAAUCUUGAAUCAUUUAUGGAAACUAUCUCGGAUUACAUUGGCAUUUAGCCAAUUCCGUAGUCAGGGCCCAUCAAUGCUUCCUUGUGUAUCGUAGGUAUACUGUUGUCUAACAACAAUAUCUCGUUUGCGCACUUGAGAGGUUUGCACGAGCUUUGCCUACGCUGUUCAGCUACAAGGUCGAACGAAGUCCAUACAUCUCAUGUAGAGGCUUCCACAUCAGUCGCAGUAGGAAACUCUGGAAUUACUUCCAAGGUUCCAUUCCUUUAACCUGAUGACGAAGAUACUUGUUAUCUCGUCGAGUUGCACUAUCCUCCCACUCACCUUUUGCAAGAACUAUUCUCUAUAAAAUCAUACCAUUUUGUGGCAAAAUCCUUGGCCUCGGUAUAGUAGUGGUGGAAUACCCAAAGUAGAACUUGUAUGAAAUAGGCAUGUAACCUUUUACACAAGCCCCAUAUUCCAAAUGUUAAGAAAAGAUAUAUCAUGGUUGGUCGUACCAUACCAUGUCGUCAUUUCAACAAACCUAAUGGAGCUCUUUUCAGUGUAAAAACCUCAGUCUCUAAAGCAUUACUCUUUAAAAGUGAUAAUGGCAAAUUUAUUUAUGUAUCUUUGAUCUUACCAUGUCAUAAAUGGUUUUAUUACAUCUUCACAGACAUUUCACUCAUAGUGGUGUUCCAGGAGUUGUAAGUUAUGAAACUCUUUUCACAACUCAUCAGACAUUCGCUAAACUUGUAACUCAGAUAUUCCUUUCUGCAAUCAAAUUGUAGAAACAUAAUUUCCGUGUUACAAUAACUUCUACUUCAUUUUUGAAAACCUUUCGAAGGAUUUCAAAAGAUUCAGACUUACGUCUCAUCAAGCAAAUAUCCAUAUAUCUACUUGAGUCAUUUCUGAAGAUAUAUAAAUCCACUACUUGCAACAACAUUUAUUGAACUACACACAUCAAAAUGUAUGAUCACCAAUAAGUUUGCUGCUCAUUCCUUAUGGCCUGUGAACGGUAUUUCAAUCACUUCACUUUUCGGAGGAAAGUUGCAAGUGUCAGAUGAUUCAAAAUCAAACAACUUCAAAAUCCAUCAUAAUGGAAUUUUUCCAUGCAAGUUUCUCCAAUGUGACCAAAUGCAGCACCACACAUGUGUGGUAUUCUAAUAGUCUUGCGACAUUUAGCGUCAGUGCUAUGGAUGUAUCAUUUUACCAUCAAUAUUCAUAACAUACAUCCCAUCUUGGAUGGAAGCAUGGCCCUUCAUGUUAUUCAUAAUACUGAACAACAAUUGUUGUUUUAUGAACAACCCUUUUGCAAUAAACAUUGUGCAAUGGGCUAGAGUGUAAGAAACUCUAAAAUGAAUUCUAAAAGUAAACACUGAGGUAAUAUACUAAUAUCAUUAUUCAUAACAUACAUCUCAUUCAUAAUGAAAGUAUGACCCUUAUGUUUAUUCAUAAUACUGAACAUCAAAAGUUCUCUUAUGAAUAACCUUCUUGCAAGAUACCUUAUGCAAAGGGCUAGAGUGUGAGAAACUCUAAAAUGAAUUAUGAAAGAAAAUACAUAGGUAAUACACCGAUGGAAGGUAUAGUAACUUUUACUAUGUUCCCAACACGUAUUGAAACCUCAUUCCUGGUUAGUCUUUCUAGGCCAUAGUAGCUCUUACAUCGAUUCGCAACAGAUUGCAAUCGAGCGGGUAUCUUUGUGAUUAACUCACAAUACCCAAGAAUUAGUGGUUAAUAUGUUUAACCAUAAUUCCCAAGAACUAUAUCUUCGACCAGCCUUCUAUACAUCAAAACUUGUAUGCCAUUCAUACAUGAGCUGGAUAUUCCAGUCAUCUUUCUUCUGCCUUUAUACUUAUAACAGUUUAACUUUUAGUAUUUCUCCUACUUGCAAAAGAAGCACCCAACUUAAGAGUGGCGUUAGCCCUAGAAUUCCUAGGCAUGAAAGUCAUACUAACACCCUUUGGACACUUCCUUUCUCUUUAGGUUGUUGUUUUAUUUACCUUUCAUCAUAUGACAUGCGUUCUUCUGGAUCCCUCUCUUAUCAGUCUAAUGCAUAGUAAACACUUUACUAAUAAUUUGCAAACAAACAUUGCGUUGGAUAUUUCAAAUCUUUUCAGCCUUUGUUUGUAUCUGAAAAUUAAUUUUCAGUUCCAUGAAUAUCACAUAACUAUCCCAAACUUUCGAAGUUCAAGUUUCAUCGAAGCAAACAUAUUGCACUUGACCGCAACGGAAUUCUAGCUUUUGGAUCGAAGGACGAGAGUCUCAUCAUCCAUUGCAUUUAGCGGGAGUAUACGGAAAGCAUGCGAUAGGACAAAGUCCUUCUCAGCACUUUUGAGGACAAUCCUAACAUUACGUUACCAAUCGUAAAGUUGUAACUAGAUAUUUAACAACUAUUCAAUUUUAAUAGGGAAGGUGGAAACGCGAGCCAUUAUUCUACAACUAUUUUGCAAGAAACACUUAGAAAAUGUUCAUAAUUAAUUGCACUAAGAAUUAAACAUGUUAAUUAAAUAGUGCGCUCCCACUCAAAUCAAUGUCUCUCAUAAUUGAUUUAGAGUGAUUCAAGAUCCAUAUUUCUAUUCGAUUCUAUUGACGGGUUCAUCACUGAUGAGACGAAUUUCAAUCGGUAGGCAAACUUGCCGAUCACAUCUCUAUGUGAUUCUUGUUCAUCUUUCGGUGGGUGUGUUCCGAGCUCAGGACUCUCCUGCCUAAACGUCAAAGACAACCAAGUGAUCUUUCUACGAGGUCUGACCUCACCCGCCUCAUUCCUCUCGAUUCAUCCGUGCUCAUGUGUACAUGGCGCACCCCGAAAAGAUAUGAAUUUCAGAUGGUGCUACACUUGGGUGAACACUAACUACUUUGAUAUUUUAAGUGAGAGGUCACCCUAAUAAAAAGUGGCUACCGUGCAAUCAAGAAGGAUGCAUCAUAAGGGAUAAACAUCUCAAGCAAUUCAUAAUAGCAUGAUAUGGUAUAGCCCUUUAUGACGGAGAAGUCUUUCAUUCCUUCGUCUUCGGCAUUCGCGUCGGUGUUCACCUUCACGAAGAUUGCCACCACCUUUUCAAUGCACCAGAUAAUAUUGCUAUCUCUAUCAGUAAUAAAAUAAGUGCAUUACUUAAGGUUGACACGCAGGUCAUUAAAGUGACAAUCAUAUGGCUCCAGCCAUCAUGCCGAAUCAUGACACGUAGGUCAUGUUAAUCAAUUUACAUCAUAUAGUCAUUCCAUAUAUAAUCAAAUUAUUAUGAGCACUGCUAUACCAUAUGACAUGCACAUGCAAACCCUCCUGCAAAACCAAGUUAGAUGCCUCUAAUCGGUUCAUGCAAAAACUUGUUUUCCGUGGCUUCUAAGGUUUCAAAACAAACCGAAGCUACCAAUGUCCAUCAUCAAGUAUGAUAAUUCAAGUCGCUAGAUUAACUUUGUGGGGUGUAUGAAGCACAAGAUAAUAAAAUUUCAAACCCCAUACUAAACUUCAUCAUACACAUGACCCCCGUGCAGAUCAUAUCUGCAUUGCCCUUUCGUCUGCGAAACAUCCAUCUUUCUUUAACUAUGGUGGAACCCAAAGAACUGUUAGCACUUUGUUGAUCUGUCAAUCAACAUACUCAGGAGCAGCAUGAAAGGAUCGCAGAUUGCUAGAACUUUGUGAUAUUCCACCAUGCCGUCAAGAUCAGGAUUAUGCAAAUUCAAGGGAAGCAACAAGAACAUCGGGUACCAUAUUUCAUCUCCUACCUGCACAAAUAAUUUUUAGUAAUAGAUCUCAUCUAUUACCUAAUUUUAUUGUGCAACACCCAUACAUCUCUAUGUAUUCUAGAUCGCAACCUGCAUCUACGCAUAGCACGACUCAUGAUGCCACUGUAGGGUAACGUAGCAGAAAACAAAAAAUUUCCGACCUACGGACCAGCCCAGGACCACUAUGGAGACUGCAUACAAGGUUUGAUCUAUUUUGUUACCGACUCAUAGUGCAGCGGGAAGUAGAGUCGAUGACGAUUGGUGGUGCAGAUCCUCGCAGCUAGGAUUUACAACCUCCCAACCGUGAGGAUGUAUACCCUCAUCUUCCCCGAGGACAGCCCUCUGGGAGGUUGCCGGACAGUCCCCCGGAUGGUGUCGCGGACAGCCCUUCGGGCGGAC